UAGUGCCUACGGGACGCAGCAGUGGGGAAUAUUGCACAAUGGGCGCAAGCCUGAUGCAGCAACGCCGCGUGAGCGAAGAAGGUCUUCGGAUCGUAAAGCUCUGUCCUUGAGGAAGAAGGAAGUGACGGUACUCAAGGGGGAAGCCCCGGCUAACUACGUGCCAGCAGCCGCGGUAAUACGUAGGGGGCAAGCGUUAUCCGGAAUUAUUGGGCGUAAAGAGUACGUAGGUGGUUUUGUAAGCGCGGGGUGAAAGGCAGUGGCUUAACCAUUGUAAGCCUUGCGAACUGCAAGACGUGAGUGCAGGG
Molecule: ribosomal RNA, 305 nt
Filed under: uncultured bacterium
Lineage: Bacteria
Description: bacterial SSU rRNA
Rfam family: Bacterial small subunit ribosomal RNA
Source: RNAcentral